GCUGGGCGCAGUGGCGUGUGCCUGUAGUCCCAUCUACUCGGGAGGCUGAGGUGGGAGGAUCACAUGAGCCCAGGAGUUCUGGGCUGUAGUGCGCUAUGCUGAUCGGGUGUCCACACUAAGUUCGGCAUCAAUAUGGUGACCUCCCGGGAGCGGGGGACCAUUAGGUUGCCUAAGGAGGGGUGAACCGGCCCAGGUCGGAAACAGGGCAGGUCAAAACUCCCAUGCUGAUCAGUAGUGGGAUUGCGCCUGUGAAUAGCCACUGUACUCCAGCCUGGGCAACAUAGCGAGACUCCAUCUCU
Molecule: signal recognition particle RNA, 299 nt
Filed under: Aotus nancymaae (Ma's night monkey)
Lineage: Eukaryota; Metazoa; Chordata; Mammalia; Primates; Aotidae
Description: Metazoan signal recognition particle RNA (ENSANAG00000005265.1)
Rfam family: Metazoan signal recognition particle RNA
About the family: The signal recognition particle (SRP) is a universally conserved ribonucleoprotein. It is involved in the co-translational targeting of proteins to membranes.
Source: RNAcentral